UGGGGAAUAUUGGACAAUGGACCAAAAGUCUGAUCCAGCAAUUCUGUGUGCACGAUGACGUUUUUCGGAAUGUAAAGUGCUUUCAGUUGGGAAGAAAAAAAUGACGGUACCAACAGAAGAAGUGACGGCUAAAUACGUGCCAGCAGCCGCGGUAAUACGUAUGUCACAAGCGUUAUCCGGAUUUAUUGGGCGUAAAGCGCGUCUAGGUGGUUAUGUAAGUCUGAUGUGAAAAUGCAGGGCUCAACUCUGUAUUGCGUUGGAAACUGCAUGACUAGAGUACUGGAGAGGUAAGCGGAACUACAAGUGUAGAGGUGAAAUUCGUAGAUAUUUGUAGGAAUGCCGAUGGGGAAGCCAGCUUACUGGACAGAUACUGACGCUAAAGCGCGAAAGCGUGGGUAGCCAGGAUUAGAUACCCUGGUAGUCCACGCCGUAAACGAUGAUUACUAGGUGUUGGGGGUCGAACCUCAGCGCCCAAGCUAACGCGAUAAGUAAUCCGCCUGGGGAGUACGUACGCAAGUAU
This 520-nucleotide ribosomal RNA is filed under the name uncultured bacterium. Its description in RNAcentral is "bacterial SSU rRNA". It matches the Rfam family "Bacterial small subunit ribosomal RNA", at positions 355 to 895 of the family's 1533-position model. The record is from RNAcentral.